GGAUGUGAGGGCGAUCUGGUUGCGACAUCUGUCACCCCAUUGAUCACCAGGGUUGAUUCGGCUGAUCUGGCUGGCUAGGUGGGUGUCCCCUUCCUCCCUCACCGCUCCAUGUGCGUCCCUCCCGAAGCUGUGUGCUCGGUCGAAGAGGACGACCAUCCCCGCUAGAGGAGGACCGGUCUUCGGUCAAGGGUAUACAAGUAGCUGCGCUCCCCUGCUAGAACCUCCAAACAAGCUCUCAGCUUCAACAUCAGACCUUCCAAUGAACACCCAGGACUGAUCUCCUUUAGGAUGGACUGGUUGGAUCU
Unclassified non-coding RNA from Bison bison bison, 305 nucleotides. Its record names the gene 7SK. It matches the Rfam family "7SK RNA". From Rfam's summary of the family: 7SK was discovered as an abundant small nuclear RNA in the mid-70s but a possible function has only recently been suggested. Two independent studies have found that 7SK RNA binds the CDK9/cyclin T complex (known as elongation factor P-TEFb). The record is from Ensembl. Lineage: Eukaryota; Metazoa; Chordata; Mammalia; Artiodactyla; Bovidae.